CCUACGGGAGGCAGCAGUGAGGAAUAUUGGUCAAUGGCCGGAAGGCUGAACCAGCCAAGCCGCGUGAAGGACGAAGGUGCCAAGCAUUGUAAACUUCUUUUGUCAAGGGACGAAAUCAGGCUCGAGAGCCUGACCGAGGGUACUUGAAGAAAAAGCAUCGGCUAACUCCGUGCCAGCAGCCGCGGUAAUACGGAGGAUGCGAGCGUUAUCCGGAUUUAUUGGGUUUAAAGGGUGCGUAGGCGGUUCGAUAAGUUAGAGGUGAAAUCCCGGGGCUCAACUCCGGCACUGCCUCUGAUACUGUCGGGCUAGAGUUUAGUUGCGGUAGGCGGAAUGUAUGGUGUAGCGGUGAAAUGCAUAGAGAUCAUACAGAACACCGAUUGCGAAGGCAGCUUACCAAACUACGACUGACGUUGAGGCACGAAAGCGUGGGGAGCAAACAGGAUUAGAUACCCGUGUAGUC
This 460-nucleotide ribosomal RNA is filed under the name uncultured bacterium. RNAcentral describes it as "partial 16S ribosomal RNA". It matches the Rfam family "Bacterial small subunit ribosomal RNA", at positions 338 to 795 of the family's 1533-position model. The record is from RNAcentral.